CAGCUGGCUUCCCCCAUCAGGUGCUGAAUUGGAUUUCUGCAGUCUUAGGGGAAUUUCUGCUGUUGCAAGAAGACAGUCUGUGACCCUUAAUCUACCAGCUGAGCAGAAAACCACAGGCAAAUUACCGUGGUGUGCUGCUCACAGUGAAAGCCACACAACGCAAUGGCCAUGAGGCGGUGUAACUGUGAGCUGCUGGCAGAAAAGACCGGCUCAGGGCACAAUCAUCUGUAAUAGAACCAGUGUUACACAGUUUAAAGCUCUGAGAAAUAAGUGCCGUUUUUAGGGCUCAGUAUGAUGAACUGCUGGCCCUCCAUGUGCCCAGUGCCUUAAAUGGAUCCAAAUGACCACAGAUACUGUCCUGCCUCCCACCAGCCUUGAGAAGACACCAAGGGCAUUCUGCAAGAGGUCCUAAGCUUCCAGGUCUUUACCUGCAAGCUCGAAGCCAGGUCACUUCAACCAACAAGUGUCCCGGCCGGAGAUCACAGGGCAGAGGAAAAGGAAAAGGACGCUGAACUCCCUGGAUUCCGCCAGGUGACCUAAGCAGAGACUUUCCACAGUCAGUACACAGUACACUCCUUCCUUCCUGACAC
This 590-nucleotide long non-coding RNA is filed under the name Heterocephalus glaber (naked mole-rat). Its description in RNAcentral is "lncRNA (ENSHGLG00100045311.1)". The record is from RNAcentral. Lineage: Eukaryota; Metazoa; Chordata; Mammalia; Rodentia; Bathyergidae.